Molecule: ribosomal RNA, 492 nt
Filed under: uncultured bacterium
Lineage: Bacteria
Description: partial 16S ribosomal RNA
Rfam family: Bacterial small subunit ribosomal RNA
Source: RNAcentral
AGUGAACGCUGGCGGUAGGCCUAACACAUGCAAGUCGAACGGCAGCACAGUAAGAGCUUGCUCUUACGGGUGGCGAGUGGCGGACGGGUGAGGAAUACAUCGGAAUCUACUUUUUCGUGGGGGAUAACGUAGGGAAACUUACGCUAAUACCGCAUACGACCUACGGGUGAAAGCAGGGGAUCUUCGGACCUUGCGCGAUUGAAUGAGCCGAUGUCGGAUUAGCUAGUUGGCGGGGUAAAGGCCCACCAAGGCGACGUUCCGUAGCUGGUCGGAGAGGAUGAUCAGCCACACUGGAACUGAGACACGGUCCAGACUCCUACGGGAGGCAGCAGUGGGGAAUAUUGGACAAUGGGCGCAAGCCUGAUCCAGCCAUACCGCGUGGGUGAAGAAGGCCUUCGGGUUGUAAAGCCCUUUUGUUGGGAAAGAAAAGCAGCAGGUUAAUACCCCGCUGUUCUGACGGUACCCAAAGAAUAAGCACCGGCUAACUUCGUG